This is a long non-coding RNA of Empidonax traillii (willow flycatcher), 340 nucleotides long. RefSeq lists it as uncharacterized. The record is from RefSeq and is a predicted model, not a curated record. Lineage: Eukaryota; Metazoa; Chordata; Aves; Passeriformes; Tyrannidae. The transcript is spliced from 3 exons.
AUUCGCAGAGGGUGUUUGUGAGAUAUGGCUGACCAGUGAAGACACAGGGGCUUAUGGCAGAGACAUUGGCACAGACCUCCCCACGCUUCUGUGGAAGCUGGUUGAAGUUAUUCCUGAGGGAGCUAUGCUGAGGCUUGGCAUGACAAACCCUCCCUAUAUUUUAGAGCAUCUGGAGGAAAUGGCGAAGAUUCUCAAUCAUCCCAGGGUGUAUGCUUUUCUGCACAUACCAGUCCAGUCAGCCUCUGACAGUGUGCUCAUGGAUAUGAAGAGAGAAUACUGCGUGGCAGACUUCAAACAAGUAGUGGAUUUCCUUAAAGAAAAGCUGCAUCUGCUUGGGUGU